This 892-nucleotide ribosomal RNA is filed under the name uncultured bacterium. Its description in RNAcentral is "bacterial SSU rRNA". It matches the Rfam family "Bacterial small subunit ribosomal RNA", at positions 505 to 1397 of the family's 1533-position model. The record is from RNAcentral.
GUGCCAGCCGCCGCGGUAAUACGUAGGUGGCAAGCGUUGUCCGGAUUUAUUGGGCGUAAAGCGAGCGCAGGCGGUUUUUUAAGUCUGAUGUGAAAGCCUUCGGCUCAACCGAAGAAGUGCAUCGGAAACUGGGAAACUUGAGUGCAGAAGAGGACAGUGGAACUCCAUGUGUAGCGGUGAAAUGCGUAGAUAUAUGGAAGAACACCAGUGGCGAAGGCGGCUGUCUGGUCUGUAACUGACGCUGAGGCUCGAAAGUAUGGGUAGCAAACAGGAUUAGAUACCCUGGUAGUCCAUACCGUAAACGAUGAAUGCUAAGUGUUGGAGGGUUUCCGCCCUUCAGUGCUGCAGCUAACGCAUUAAGCAUUCCGCCUGGGGAGUACGGCCGCAAGGCUGAAACUCAAAGGAAUUGACGGGGGCCCGCACAAGCGGUGGAGCAUGUGGUUUAAUUCGAAGCUACGCGAAGAACCUUACCAGGUCUUGACAUACUAUGCAAAUCUAAGAGAUUAGACGUUCCCUUCGGGGACAUGGAUACAGGUGGUGCAUGGUUGUCGUCAGCUCGUGUCGUGAGAUGUUGGGUUAAGUCCCGCAACGAGCGCAACCCUUAUUAUCAGUUGCCAGCAUUAAGUUGGGCACUCUGGUGAGACUGCCGGUGACAAACCGGAGGAAGGUGGGGAUGACGUCAAAUCAUCGUGCCCCUUAUGACCUGGGCUACACACGUGCUACAAUGGAUGGUACAACGAGUUGCGAACUCGCGAGAGUAAGCUAAUCUCUUAAAGCCAUUCUCAGUUCGGAUUGUAGGCUGCAACUCGCCUACAUGAAGUCGGAAUCGCUAGUAAUCGCGGAUCAGCAUGCCGCGGUGAAUACGUUCCCGGGCCUUGUACACACCGCCCGU